UGAGGAAUAUUGGUGCAAAUGGGCGGGAGCCUGAACCAGCCAAGCCGCGUGAGGGAUGAAGGCCCUAUGGGUCGUAAACCUCUUUUGUCAGGGAACAAAAGCGAGUAUGUAUACUAGUCUGAGUGUACCUGAAGAAAAAGCAUCGGCUAACUCCGUGCCAGCAGCCGCGGUAAUACGGAGGAUGCGAGCGUUAUCCGGAUUUAUUGGGUUUAAAGGGUGCGUAGGCGGCGAUGCAAGUCAGCGGUAAAAGCCCGGGGCUCAACCCCGGCGAGCCGUUGAAACUGCAGUGCUAGAGAAGGCGAGAGGUACGCGGAAUGCGCAGUGUAGCGGUGAAAUGCUUAGAUAUUGCGCAGAACUCCGAUUGCGAAGGCAGCGUACUGGCGCCUGACUGACGCUGAGGCACGAAAGCGUGGGGGAUCGAACAGGAUUAGAUACC
This 436-nucleotide ribosomal RNA is filed under the name uncultured bacterium. Its description in RNAcentral is "bacterial SSU rRNA". It matches the Rfam family "Bacterial small subunit ribosomal RNA", at positions 355 to 786 of the family's 1533-position model. The record is from RNAcentral.